Molecule: ribosomal RNA, 466 nt
Filed under: uncultured bacterium
Lineage: Bacteria
Description: bacterial LSU rRNA
Rfam family: Bacterial large subunit ribosomal RNA
Source: RNAcentral
CGAAUGGCGUAACGACUUCCGCACUGUCUCGACCAGAGACUCAGUGAAAUUGAAUUAGGGGUGAAGAUGCCCUUUACCCGCGGCAAGACGAAAAGACCCUGUGAACCUUUACUGCAACUUGGCAGUGAAUACAGGCCUUGACUGUGUAGGAUAGGUGGGAGGCUAAGAAGCCGGAGCACAAGUUUCGGUGGAGCCGUCGUUGAAAUACCACCCUGUCGAGUCCCGUAUUCUAACCUGGGCCGGUGAAUCCUGGCCAGGGACACUGUCUGGUGGGCAGUUUGACUGGGGCGGUCGCCUCCGAAAAAGUAACGGAGGCGUGCGAAGGUUCCCUCAGGCUGGGCGGAAACCAGCCGUUGAGUAUAAAGGCAUAAGGGAGCUUAACUGCGAGACAAACAAGUCGAGCAGAUGCGAAAGCAGGCCUUAGUGAUCCGGUGGCUCCGUAUGGAAGGGCCAUCGCUCAUCGGAU